This 253-nucleotide ribosomal RNA is filed under the name uncultured bacterium. RNAcentral describes it as "partial 16S ribosomal RNA". It matches the Rfam family "Bacterial small subunit ribosomal RNA", at positions 524 to 776 of the family's 1533-position model. The record is from RNAcentral.
UACGAAGGGGGCUAGCGUUGUUCGGAAUUACUGGGCGUAAAGCGCACGUAGGCGGAUCGAUCAGUCAGGGGUGAAAUCCCAGGGCUCAACCCUGGAACUGCCUUUGAUACUGUCGAUCUGGAGUAUGGCAGAGGUGAGUGGAAUUCCGAGUGUAGAGGUGAAAUUCGUAGAUAUUCGGAGGAACACCAGUGGCGAAGGCGGCUCACUGGUCCAUUACUGACGCUGAGGUGCGAAAGCGUGGGGAGCAAACAGG